GGGUGCUUGCACCUAACAAGUUAGUAGACGAACGGGUGAGUAAUACAUAAGUCAACCUACCUAUUAGACUGGGAUAACUAUGGGAAACGAUAGCUAAUACCGGAUAGGUAACUUGAAGGCAUCUUUAAGUUAUUAAAGGUUAGAGACACUAAUAGAUGGGCUUAUGGCGUAUUAGUUAGUUGGUGAGGUAACGGCUCACCAAGACGAUGAUACGUUAGCCGGCCUGAGAGGGUGAACGGCCACAUUGGGACUGAGACACGGCCCAGACUCCUACGGGAGGCAGCAGUAGGGAAUUUUCGGCAAUGGGCGCAAGCCUGACCGAGCAACGCCGCGUGAGUGAAGAAGGCCUUCGGGUUGUAAAGCUCUGUUAUAAAUUAAGAAUGGCUAUAAGGGACUUAUAGAGAUGACUGAUUUACCAGAAAGCCACGGCUAACUACGUGCCAGCAGCCGCGGUAAUACGUAGGUGGCAAGCGUUAUCCGGAAUUAUUGGGCGUAAAGGGUGCGCAGGCCGGUUUGUUAAGUUUAAGGUGAAAGCGUGGGGCUCAACCCCAUACAGCCUUAGAAACUGGCAGACUAGAGUACAGAAGAGGGUAGUGGGAAUUUCAUGUGUAGCCGGUAAAAUGCGUAGAUAUAUGAAGGAACACCAGUGGCGAAG
This 655-nucleotide ribosomal RNA is filed under the name Holdemania sp. cp07.24. Its description in RNAcentral is "bacterial SSU rRNA". It matches the Rfam family "Bacterial small subunit ribosomal RNA", at positions 74 to 720 of the family's 1533-position model. Lineage: Bacteria; Bacillati; Bacillota; Erysipelotrichia; Erysipelotrichales; Erysipelotrichaceae. The record is from RNAcentral.